This 79-nucleotide transfer RNA is filed under the name Enterobacter cloacae. RNAcentral describes it as "tRNA-Asp". The stretch from base 6 to 68 matches the Rfam family "tRNA", at positions 6 to 65 of the family's 71-position model. From Rfam's summary of the family: Transfer RNA (tRNA) molecules are approximately 80 nucleotides in length. Their secondary structure includes four short double-helical elements and three loops (D, anti-codon, and T loops). Lineage: Bacteria; Pseudomonadati; Pseudomonadota; Gammaproteobacteria; Enterobacterales; Enterobacteriaceae. The record is from RNAcentral.
GGAGCGGUAGUUCAGUCGGUUAGAAUACCUGCCUGUCACGCAGGGGGUCGCGGGUUCGAGUCCCGUCCNGAGUUCUCCC